UGGGGAAUAUUGCACAAUGGGCGAAAGCCUGAUGCAGCGACGCCGCGUGCGGGAUGAAGGCCUUCGGGUUGUAAACCGCUUUUAAUUGGGAGCAAGCGAGAGUGAGUGUACCUUUUGAAUAAGCACCGGCUAACUACGUGCCAGCAGCCGCGGUAAUACGUAGGGUGCAAGCGUUAUCCGGAAUUAUUGGGCGUAAAGAGCUCGUAGGCGGUUUGUCACGCCUGGUGUGAAAGUCCAUCGCUUAACGGUGGAUCUGCGCCGGGUACGGGCAGGCUAGAGUGCAGUAGGGGAGAUUGGGAUUCCCGGUGUAACGGUGGAAUGUGUAGAUAUCGGGAAGAACACCAAUGGCGAAGGCAGAUCUCUGGGCUGUUACUGACGCUGAGGAGCGAAAGCAUGGGGAGCGAACAGGAUUAGAUACCCUGGUAGUCCAUGCCGUAAAACGGUGGAUGCUGGAUGUGGGACCCUUCCACGGGUUCCGUGUCGGAGCUAACGCGUUAAGCAUCCCGCCUGGGGAGUACGGCCGCAAGGCU
This 530-nucleotide ribosomal RNA is filed under the name uncultured bacterium. RNAcentral describes it as "partial 16S ribosomal RNA". It matches the Rfam family "Bacterial small subunit ribosomal RNA", at positions 355 to 895 of the family's 1533-position model. The record is from RNAcentral.